Molecule: ribosomal RNA, 301 nt
Filed under: uncultured bacterium
Lineage: Bacteria
Description: partial 16S ribosomal RNA
Rfam family: Bacterial small subunit ribosomal RNA
Source: RNAcentral
CAGUCGCCACGGUAAUACGAAGGGGGCUAGCGUUGUUCGGAAUCACUGGGCGUAAAGGGUGCGUAGGCGGGAUCUUAAGUCAGGGGUGAAAUCCCGAGGCUCAACCUCGGAACUGCCUUUGAUACUGGGGUCCUUGAGUCCGGAAGAGGUGAGUGGAACUGCGAGUGUAGAGGUGAAAUUCGUAGAUAUUCGCAAGAACACCGGUGGCGAAGGCGGCUCACUGGUCCGGAACUGACGCUGAGGCACGACAGCGUGGGGAGCAAACAGGAUUAGAUACCCCUGUAGUCCCUGUCUCUUAUAC